UUUUUUUUUUUUUUCAUGUAUACAUACUAGUGUUUUUUUCCAGUGACCUGACCUUUCUAUGUAAACACAUACACGCACACACACUUGUAUUCAUGAAUAUGAGACCAAGUGCCAGUAACUCACUGGGCUGGGUGCUGGGGGUGCAGGCUGAGGACCGCAAGCAGCCGGCAACCCCCUACCCGCACCCUCCAGGGCGAUCGGGCCCUUGGGGGCUGUGGUUGCACCCACUGGCCCCCCACACCCAGCAGCUUUAGGGCUUCCUCCUCAUGCAGGCCAAGAUUCCAAACGCCAACCGGUCUCACAGCUUGUGAACCCAGGCCUCAGGUAUCUAAAAGCCCUUUUCCAUUCUGCCCCUGUCCUGAGGGGUCUUCCAGCUGGAGUGGAGGGGCUCGUCUUUGAAGGUGACUCGUCCCAGAGGGAAACGCAAAAUAAACAUCCGAGGGUUGCAUUUAUUUAUUUAUUUAUUUAUCAGGAACUGUGUGUGUCUCGGGGAGGGUUGCUGGGCUGUUCUCUCUAGCAAAAGGAACUAGGCUUGGAGUGAGGGGUAGGUCACAGCGGAAGGAUGAAGAUGGGGCCAUCAGAGCUCCAGCCACACUGGGCCGUGCUGGAGCAUCAGAGCUCCAGCCACACAUGCCCAGUGGGCAUUGCCCGUGCUCUGGGUCAGGGCACCCUCGGCCACCACUUUGAAUGCAAAAGCUCUGCUCCUCCCCCUUGCCCAUGGCAGGAGCUGGGUCAGAACGGCUCGGUGUGAAGCAGGUCUGGGCUGAGUACCAGGGCUGGCAGGCAAUGCUUGGCCUCCACUUCCGGGAAGUUUCUCCAGCUUUUCCGUUCUCAGCCUGUGCAGCACUUGUCUGUGGCGGAUCGGGCCUGGUCUGAUCAAAUUCUCCAUGUACAAAUCCAUAUAAACAAGCACACAGAAUUGUAUCCAAUGCAGACAAACAUAGAGCAUCAGUUAUGAAACCCUCACAGAGCCUGGAGGCUCCCCACGGCUCCGUGACCCUGACCGUGCUAUGGAGACGCCCGCACAUUUGCACUUGACACUGAGAGCCAAAGGGCCGCGUGCUUCCCGUUACGUGGGCUGUCGUGAUUUGUAGUUUCCAAAGGUCUGUCCGCGUUUGCAUUUCUAGGUUUUCGAGGUAAGCACUUUUUGGUGGUGGUUUCGGAAAAUCACGUCAUGCCUAGAAUCUGAAAUUAAAUUCUUGAGAACCAACUGUUUGAGUUCUCCAUCUUUCCUUUGUUCUACCCUUUUUAAAUUGUUAGUCCUGAUAAUUUCAAAAUGCACCCCACCCCCCACCGCCCCAAAACAAUGAACAUUAAACUACUCUAAAAUCUCAACAUUUGCUGCCUGGUACUUCCUCACUGACAAGACUGGGGCCACUUCCGAGAUUAAAGCAGCCUCCUUGCCAGCCGUCUGUGGCUGAAGUAGGGCUUGAGGGUCUUUUACACUGUGACUUUGAAAACAAGGCAACUAAAAACCCUACUGUGUGUGUGUGUGUUAAAUGACUGUAUUUGCUAUAGUAAACUUUUUUUGAGAAGUAUCUAUUUCUACAUGGGACUUGUAACAGAAGCAGGUUACAGCACAAAUUUUGCU
Long non-coding RNA from Bos taurus (domestic cattle), 1591 nucleotides. Lineage: Eukaryota; Metazoa; Chordata; Mammalia; Artiodactyla; Bovidae. The record is from Ensembl.